UUUUUUUUUUAUUGUAGUUUUGUUUUCAUUUUUCCCCCUUUUCAGUAAGCUGUCUAGUAAAAGCCGUAACCCACAGUGUAUAACGUAAAACUAGGUGGGUGGUCAAGGCUCUCUGGGAUCCUAUUAUGUGGUAUUGUGGCUCCAAGAUCCAACUGUUUUUACGUUUUCUCAAUCUAUCAUUUGCUUUUUUGUCCUUUAUUAUUUCAGUUGUUCUGUAAACUUUGGAGGAAUACAAAGAGUUCAUAGGAAUGACCAUCUCUGGUCAUUUUAUAGAUAUAUGCUAAUGUUAAGGAGCAUAUAUAAAUAUCUACAUAUAUGUGUGAAAUGUUUGAUGGGACAACUAUUCCAUAGCAAAAGUACUGAAUUAGAGACAGAUCAUCUACUGAAUUAUGCUAUGUGUGUAAUAUUUGUGAAAAUUUUGUCUUACGUACAUAUCCAACAUUAACCAAUGCUGAUGGUUAAAAAUUACAAUAUCUAUCUUUAUGACAAAAUAAAGGUAUAUGCCUUACACAAGUCUAUCUGAGCAGAUGAUGGAAGCCUGGUUCUCUAAUUGUGGAAGGAAUGGUGACCUUGUUUCUAUGCACAAAUCACCUGGAAUGUUAAAUUCCCUAAAGUAUAAACAAACUUUAAGAAUUAUUUGUUAAUUAAAUUGAUGUUUCCAUCUGUAGAUCGAGAUAUUGUUGUUAAUUCUUCAGGAAUGAUAGAUACGUAUCGAUAAAUGUCAUACACUUGAACAUCCAGCAAUCUAACAUAGAGAAAAGCACAUAAGAUCAGAGAUAUACUUACUUAUUUUUCUAAAACUUUUGUUCUUCCUCUUUGAUGUAUCUUUUAUUUGCUGUACUUAAAUUAUGUCAAUAAGGUGAAUCAAUUAAAUCAAAUUUUUUCCCCAGGCUAGAUAUGUGGAAAAGCAAACUGACCAUUCUGUAAAGAUGAUUUUCUGAUACUUUGUGGUAACAACUGCUAAUUUUGUUUAUAAAAACCACAGGAACAUGAUUCUUAAAAUAUGAAUUAGAAUAUUAGAAUGAAUAGAUCAUGCAAAGAAUGAUGCCUGGUUAUUCCAAUACUCUAUCAAACCUACUAACAUAUUCGAUUAUGGGGUACCAUUUGCUGAUGUUUUGGAAACUCAAAAGUUCUUAAGCGUCCAGGCUACAUUAUGGAUGUAGAUUUGUGUGCCAUGGAAAUAACUGAAUUCUUUUUGUCUUUUUUUGUCUUCAGUGCUACAACCCUAUUUCAUGUCAUUAUUACCUUUUUUCUUGGUGACUGUAUCAUCUUCCUAACCCUUUCUUUGGUCCAGGUUUCUCAUCUCCAAUCUACCUCUAUCAUAUCAUUGUAGACUAAUAUUUCUAAAUCCCACCUCUAAUAAUAAAUAGGGUAAUUCAAAAGUCCAUCAAAUUAAAUAUGAAUUCUUCAGUAUGACAUUUGUGGGUUCCUCUACUAAACUUUCUGCUUAUGCAAAUUCAAAUCCUCUACUGGAAACAUGGACUCAAAGUAAAUUGAGUUCAUUAAUCCAGAUACACAGUCUAUGCUUUUGUUUCUUAAUGACUUUGCCUAGGCUAUGCACACUACAUGGAUGCUCAGGUCAAAAACCUAACUCCACCUUAAGUGCUAUCUUAAAUAGCAUGUAUUUCUGCCAGGUUUGGCUCUAGUGAAAAUAAUCUAUCUGCCCUCUCAGUACCCUCUGUGGGAUUCUUUACAAGCUGUUACUUGUAUUCUAGUCAUGGAUAUCAUAGUUGCCUAUGUCUUGGGGCUUUUAUGUCUUCACUCAAUAUAAGGGGUUUAUCAGCAUUUAUCUGAUUAAAUUUGUUAACAUGGUGGCCUAAGCCACCAUGUUUCAAAUUUAGCCACACAUUGAAAUCACUAAGGGAAUGUACAAAAAUAUUGAGACCUGAGUCCCACUGGUAGAGAUACUGAAUUUGCUUGGCAAGUAGUCUGUUCAUUGAAAUUAAAAAAAAAAAAAUCUCAAGGUCACUCUUAUAUGCAGCAAAUUUGAGGACCAAAGGCUCUGCUAACUCUGGGAUUACCCAAAAUGUCGUUUGGAAUGUGUAUAUUGACAGUCUCCUAUGGCUAUUUGGUUGAUAGAUUUAUGCCCAUCUUAACUCUGUGAGCAGAUGAACUCUUCAAUUAGAUCCAAAAUGUGGCUUCCCCAGACCAAUUCCAACCUUAUCUUUAACUCUAAACAAUAUUAUUAGGAAAUGCUUAUUUCAGGUUUAAAAGUUAAAAUAUAUUAAUCCUACUUGCUAAUUUUUUGGGAGCACCAAUCAUUAUUAUAAUCAAGAUACUAAUUAUAAAAAAAGAAAAGGUUAGUAUAUAAAUUGAUCAGUUUAAAAUUAUGUACACAUAUUACACUUUACUAUCAUCUCCAAAGUAGAAGUGAAUCUUAAGCUUAUGACUUAAAAAUAGUUUUAAGCAUUGUGACAAAGCAUUGUCUUAAAUUUUGCUUUUAGAAAAGGGCAGAUGAGAGGAGAAAAAUCUAUGCAGUUCUUCUCAUCACAUAGAAUUUGCAUUUGUACAACUCUGUACAGGCAUUUUCUUAAGCCUGAUUUAGGAUGAAAAGAUGAUAUACUGUACCAGGGGGACAUAGUACAUGUUUACAGUAUUUUCUUUCUUAAAAUAAUCUAUAAAAUAAUAAAGGCAGGGAUAACAAUAUCUACCCUAUAAGGCAGCUGUUUGGUGAAUAAAACUAAUAAUUUUGACAGAGAUUUUUAGUUUGAGUGUAUUGGUUUGAGUUGUUUUUCUAGAAGGUUUGGAUUCUCUCUGAUCCCUGUCCCUCUCUCAUUCUUGCACAUUGAAGGACAUCAGGUGUUUCUGAGGUGAGCAGGUGGCCACAGGCAUCUUUGACAGAAUAUGGAUGUUCCACUAUCAGGAGAAUCAAACUCAUGCCCUAAACUGGCUCUUGCAAACACUAUAUUCUAAGCAAUAAAGAUUAGAAAUGUAGAUGCUGAAUUUUCUGAUCCUUGACUUUAACAGGCAAAACAGAGAAGGGGGCUGUGGUGUUCAUACUGUGUGAACCUUUCACUGCACUCAAACCCAAGAAUAUAUCUCAAGACAAGCUUUCUAUUCAUGAACCCAUUUCCA
This 3075-nucleotide long non-coding RNA is filed under the name Canis lupus familiaris (dog). Its description in RNAcentral is "lncRNA (ENSCAFG00000055423.1)". The record is from RNAcentral. Lineage: Eukaryota; Metazoa; Chordata; Mammalia; Carnivora; Canidae.